This 235-nucleotide ribosomal RNA is filed under the name uncultured bacterium. Its description in RNAcentral is "partial 16S ribosomal RNA". It matches the Rfam family "Bacterial small subunit ribosomal RNA", at positions 120 to 354 of the family's 1533-position model. The record is from RNAcentral.
AGCAAUCUGCCUUGGAGUCGGGAAUAACGGUUGGAAACAGCCGCUAAUACCGCAUGAUGCGUCUGGGAGGCAUCUCUCUGGACGCCAAAGAUUUAUCGCUCUGAGAUGAGCUCGCGUCUGAUUAGCUUGUUGGCGGGGUAAAGGCCCACCAAGGCGACGAUCAGUAGCCGGACUGAGAGGUUGGCCGGCCACAUUGGGACUGAGACACGGCCCAGACUCCUACGGGAGGCAGCAG